This 261-nucleotide ribosomal RNA is filed under the name uncultured archaeon. Its description in RNAcentral is "partial 16S ribosomal RNA". It matches the Rfam family "Archaeal small subunit ribosomal RNA", at positions 748 to 1009 of the family's 1478-position model. The record is from RNAcentral.
CAGCCGUAAACUAUGCUCGCUAGGUGUCAGGGACGGUGCGACCGUUUCUGGUGCCGCAGGGAAGCCGUGAAGCGAGCCACCUGGGAAGUACGGUCGCAAGGCUGAAACUUAAAGGAAUUGGCGGGGGAGCACCACAACGGGUGGAGCUUGCGGUUUAAUUGGAUUCAACGCCGGAAAUCUUACCGGGACCGACAGCAACAUGAAGGCCAGGCUGAAGACUUUGCCGGAUUAGCUGAGAGGAGGUGCAUGGCGUAGUCGUGU